Molecule: long non-coding RNA, 576 nt
Organism: Gallus gallus (chicken)
Lineage: Eukaryota; Metazoa; Chordata; Aves; Galliformes; Phasianidae
Source: Ensembl
CUGACACGAGGUCCAGUGCAAAAGGGAUUUUCAGAUGAAAAUGAGGAAACUGACUACACAAUUUACAAUAAAUUGGCUUUAUGAAAUAGGAGCCAACUAUAUUGACCUUUGUAACAAGAAAUCUAGGAUUAGAAGGAAUGGCCUCAAGAUGUGCCUGGGGAGGUUCAGGUUGGAUAUUAGGAAAAAAUUCUUCUCUGAAAGAGUAGUCAGGCACUGGAAUGGGCUGCCCAGGGAGGUGUUUGAGUCACCAUCACUGGAGAUGCUUAAAUAAUUUACUAACAGAUGUGGUUUAGUGGUGAAAUAUUGGUGGUAGAUGGACAGUUGGACUGGAUGAUAUUGGAGGUCUUUUCCAACCUUAGUGAUUCUGUGUACUCAUUUUACACUGCCAGGUUCACCUGAUCCGCAUCAUGCUUGAUCUUAAAUAAUCAUCAUCAGCAUACUGAAGCAUUGUAUACAGAUAUGAUCAAAAAUCAUACAGGAAUUUCCCCCAGAUGAAAUUGGCUUUCUUGGCUUUUAAGAAUGACACUGAUGUUAGCAACUGGUUUCAGAUUUCUAUGUGGCAAGCAGAACACCCAG